AAUAUUGGACAAUGGGGGCAACCCUGAUCCAGCCAUGCCGCGUGUGUGAAGAAGGNUUNNGGUUUNUNAAGCAAUUUAAGUAGNNNNNAGGGGCUUUGGGUUACUACCCGUACGUUGUGACGUUACCAACAGAAUAAGCAUCGGAUAAUUCUGUGCCAGCAGCCGCGGUAAUACUGAGGGUGCAAGCGUUAAUCGGAAUUACUGGGCGUAAAGCGCGCGUAGGUGGUUCAGUAAGAUGGGUGUGAAAUCCCCGGGCUUAACCUGGGAACUGCUUUCAUAACUGCUGAGCUAGAGUACGGUAGAGGGUAGUGGAAUUUCCUGUGUAGCGGUGAAAUGCGUAGAUAUAGGAAGGAACACCAGUGGCGAAGGCGACUACCUGGACUGAUACUGACACUGAGGUGCGAAAGCGUGGGGAGCAAAC
RNAcentral lists this ribosomal RNA (421 nucleotides) under uncultured bacterium. RNAcentral describes it as "partial 16S ribosomal RNA". It matches the Rfam family "Bacterial small subunit ribosomal RNA", at positions 360 to 773 of the family's 1533-position model. The record is from RNAcentral.